AAAUACAUGCAUUAUUCCAAAAAAUUAUUCUAGACAUGUUUCUCAAUGUUAGUAUCCAAAAUAUAAUCCACAUGAAUUGAUAAUGAAACCAUACAUUACAGAACUUGUAGAGGCUUAAAUAGAGGAGUUUUAAUAACAAAGCAACAUUCCCAAUUUUGUUUCAAAUAAAGAAGAUCACACCGCUCCUAUCGGCAACACUACUGGCACUCUAUUUGUUUAGAAAAGAAGAAAAGAAAAGGGAAAAUAGAUCCAUGAUUAUACCACCUUCAUCCUUGUUAAUUUCAAUUGUUUGAUGCCAAAGUAUAUAAUGAAGAAUAUUCAAUAAAUGUAAAUAAAAAGAGAUGCGAGGCAAUAAUUACCUCUUUCAAUUUCUUGAAGAUACUCCACGCCUCAAAAUUUCUCCAUCUUUUGUCAUCAACUUUACAAUCCUUAAUGCGAGUUCGAACUUUCCCCUCAUUUUAUUGCUGGAAGCCUGGAAACAACAAACAGAUUGGUCGAUUUUUGGAUUAAAAUUUGGGGUAAUCCCUAUCAACUUUAAGAUAUAAGGGUUAAUUUCAUAUGUGGCCAUCGCGAUUUCCGAAAUUGGAGAGAUGAGAGGUUGUGCUACGGGAAAACAGAGACAGCGAGACUACGAAUCACAAAGUACCUUAUCUAUGACUUGCAAAAAAGACCAAAUUUUGUAAUGUUCGCUCUAUGUGACUGAAUAGGGUGUAUGUUUUCCUUACUUUCGAUUCAGAAUCGAAGAGAAUAGGGAGAGAUGAGAAAGAAUCUAACCGAUAGAUCUCUUCUUCCUCGGCAAUGUGGCAUCUUGAUCAUCCCCAUAUGUGUCUUCCAUAUUGUCGCUCUUAGAUCUGGUCUCAUGCUCUGUAUCUGUGCUUCUUCUUCCAUUAAACAUUUACUGUGCUUCAAUUCGAAACAGUUGCAUCCUAGUUAAUACAUAUAUGGAUGGAGAAUAGUAGGAGAAAUUAAAUUGAUUUUGAGAAAUAAUCGUAUUGUGAUCGAACCGUCUGAGAGAGAUAUCAAAUUGCUAUGGGGAGAGAACCGUGGGUGAGAGAAAACUGUUGUUGACUUGUUGUGAUAGAACGUGUGAGAGAGAAUUUUUGGCGGUAAAAAAUAGCCGUUAAACUCAUUUUAUAUAGAUUAACCGAGGGUGACCCUCGUAUCUGUUUCCCUUGAGUAACAGUAUUUUUAGCUCAGGCCCAACUCUAAAUACGGGCUUCCCUCUUUAUUUUACUUAUCUAUCA
Molecule: long non-coding RNA, 1244 nt
Filed under: Salvia miltiorrhiza (redroot sage)
Lineage: Eukaryota; Viridiplantae; Streptophyta; Magnoliopsida; Lamiales; Lamiaceae
Description: long non-coding RNA (SMIL_LNC011500)
Source: RNAcentral